UACGGAGGGGGCAAGCGUUAUUCGGAAUUAUUGGGCGUAAAGGGCGCGUAGGCGGCUAGAUGUGUCAAAGGUGAAAUCCCUCGGCUCAACUGAGGAACUGCCUUUGAAACUGCCUGGCUUGAGGCCGGGAGAGGGUAGCGGAAUUCCCAGUGUAGCGGUGAAAUGCGUAGAUAUUGGGAGGAACACCAGUGGCGAAGGCGGCUACCUGGACCGGUUCUGACGCUGAGGCGCGAAAGCUAGGGGAGCAAACAGG
Molecule: ribosomal RNA, 253 nt
Filed under: uncultured bacterium
Lineage: Bacteria
Description: partial 16S ribosomal RNA
Rfam family: Bacterial small subunit ribosomal RNA
Source: RNAcentral